Non-coding RNA from Lolium perenne, 2259 nucleotides. The record is from RefSeq and is a predicted model, not a curated record. NCBI's taxonomy places the organism in Eukaryota, Viridiplantae, Streptophyta, Magnoliopsida, Poales, Poaceae.
CGCUCCAUCUCUCACCGAUUGGGCCACAUGUCACCUGUAGAUUGGCUGCGUCGGUUGGGUGGGAGACAAAAGCAGAGCCCGGCCAAACCCUACACAUCCCGUUCUCAUCUCUCUCCCCGCGCCCCCAAUCCCCGCCGCCACCUCCCUGCUCCUCCUCUCGCUCCCGUCCUCUCCCUCGUCCGAGGAUAGCAAGCGGGGCGGCGAUGUUCUCCUUCAUCGGCGACGGCGGUCUUCUCUGGGUGAGGACGGUGCUCUCCUCCGAGCGGACACGGAGGUGUCCUCCGAGCAGCAGCCUGCGCUUGAGGCAGAAUAUUGGUGCAGUCGUCAACAGUGACAAUAGUAGCCACGGAUACACCGACCUGGAGAAGCGUAGUGGCAGCAGUAGCUACAGAUGGGGAGUGCUGAUCUGUUCCCCUCUCCAGAGGGGGAUCGGACCAUUGAAGAAGCAUCCCAAAGUUGCUAAACAAGAACUACCUGACUUCCAUCAAUUGAUGAUCAUAUAGCGGAUGACCUUCUGAUAAAGGGGCUACAUAUGAGCAACCUACCUACCCUGAGCAAGAAGUUACUUGACAUAUUGAGAUUGGGCCAGACCUGACAUGCUUUCGAUUAUUCUCCUGCCUAGGAAACAUUUUCUUUUUUGAUAAGGGGCUUAUUGCAAUGGGCAAUAUUCCUUUCUCAGUCAUUUCCUUAUUUUCUGAUGAACUGGUUAUGACUAGGUCAUGAGGUGUCGCAAUGCUUGACCUAUUCUGGGAUUGGAGUAAUUUCAAGGUAUUUUUUUGGUUAAUGCUGAUCCCUGAUUUCGUAAAUGCAUAGUUGUUUUUCCACUUCGCUUCCUUUUGUGUUCCUGGAUAUUUGUCCUUUAAUUCAGCUUUAUGUGCCCAUGGAGCGUUGAUUCUUCUAAAAAAUGAAGUGUUAAUUGCUAAGAUAAGUGGGCAUGUUGGAACGUCCCAUCCAAGCAGUACUUGGAUUGGAGCAUUGAAACUCUGCCAGGUUCUUUUGAGAUCUUCAAAGGGCUGUAAUCAGUUGUUUCCACGGGUUGAUAAACUAAUAUAGGUUGUUUCAAUUUACAAGAGUAUUUCUUACGGUCCAGUUUUCUUGCUAAUCUCAAUCCUAUUUUUUAAUCUGUUGUUUCCACGGGGUGAUAAGGUUUCUGUUGAGAGACUUCUCAACAUUUUGGGAUGUGUCACGACUCACGACCUUCUCUCAAGGGUGGACCAGCCGCAACGCAUAUGCUUUUUUCUCCACAUCACUCCAAGCAGCAGCUACAGGCAGAACCAAUUUAUGUCCAUGAUUGGCAGCGUAGAACAUGAUCAGGAGGCCAGGAUUAUCACUUUAGAGUAUACUUGGUCUGCUUCAUAUUCUGGUUGCGGUUACGCAGACUUCAGGAUUGGGAUCAAUCUAUGUAGCAGAAAGAGAUCGAGGCGAUCCUUGGGAUUAUGCAGUAAAAUUGACAAACUCAGGUGAAGUGAUGCACUUUUUAUCUACCAGGAUCACACAUUGGUUCAGAGUUAUGUGAAUCAUCUAUGGGUUCAGAUUGGUGUUUAUAAAGCACCACAGUGAGGUGAUCAAUUGGAGAUUGAACAUGGCUUGCAGCGACGGUUCAGGAUUGGGUCAAUCUAUGUAUAUGAGGGAGGUGGAGGUUGAUGCGCUCCUUGUGAUUAAGCAGCAAAAGGGACAAACUCAGGUUAAAUGGACCUUGAACCAUUUGAUCCUAUUUCCGUGGACAAAUUUAUGUUGUGGAACUUGAUUGGGUCAAAUCCAUGCGCCUCCAAAUCAUGUAACACACCAAGGAUAUUGACAUAUUGUAUUGCUGCUCACAUGUGGCGUAGCAGCAGAGGCGGGACGAGUUUGCUUGUGCUAGAAUUCCGAAAAGUGAGAAAAUAGGAAUUGCAGACUUGGGAGGAUGAACUAGCACCUUAUGUAUGCUCAAGAUCCAGGAAGCAUCUAGCUCAAGAUCCAGGCGAUGCUGAAGUUCAACCACAAGUAUAUGACUCACGUGGCUGACGCAAACUAUAGAGCUUUCACUGUUCUACCUGGGAGUCUUUUAGUGUGCAGAAGGCAUAUGGACAGUUUGGUGGACGCAAAUAAGAUGUACUAAAUGAUCACGGGACGUGGGAGAACUUUGCUGCUCUGUAAUAUACAUCUGCUUUUAGCUUUCUUCUUUUCACUUAUAUAUCAAUGUUUAAUGUAACAUUUUAAUAAUGGGCUAUCAAACGCAUGGAGCAUUGAUUGAAAAUAAGAUACUAAUGAUUAUAAAUA